AGCUGGCUUGACGUGAGGCCCAGGGAAGAGAGAGACUCCCCCGCUCCACGCGCAGGAGUGACGUGGAGUCACCCAAGCUUCCAGAACUGUCACUGCUGCCUCCUCCUCCUAGCUGCAAGGACCUCAGCUUCAUGGGUUUACUGACACUCUGCUCAGAAGCCUUUCUACCACUUCAUCAUCUCCGAGAGACAGCAUGGCCGCAGUGUCUCCCAGCUGCCAUCUCCCUUCCCGCAUGGCUUCUCCAGACUACUGAAAGCAUGCCCGAGAGUCAGGGUGGCAGCCCAGGGGACACUUGUUCAAAUUCUAUAUCUAUGUUCAAAUUCUAUCCCUCUUUCUUUCUUGCUGUGUGAUCUUGAAUGACCUCUUCGUGGUGUCUCCAUUUCUACAUUGAUGAAAAGCAGGGUCUAGAAUACAGGAAAGAUGAACGGCUUGCUCCGGAACAUCACCUGCCAGCCUGGUUCUGGAACAGCUCUGUACCUGCCAGAUCUGAAUGCAAAGUGAUACCACAUCCUCAGGGUGCCCAGGGCUAGGCACACUUUGUAGCUGAGCUGGGCAUCAGUCAGGAAGUCCUGCAGAGCAGAACCAGGCUCCAUCUCCUACCCAGGGUGAUGCUGUUGCUAGGUGACCUGAGCAGAGUGGCUGUAGCACUAGGGACCAUGAUCCUGUCCCAUCUGCCUCCACCCCCAGAAAGUCCUUGCUUGGAGAUGGCAGAGGGUCUGGCAUGCAGUGUGUCACCUCACUGCACACAAAUCGCAUGGCUGAGCCAGUCAGAAGAGUACCCAGAAUGUCACGCCCCGGGGGGGGGUGGCAUGUGACUAUUUACAAGGGUUCUCGUGGUGAAACCAUCCCAGGUUGAAAUAUUGGAAGGAAUGCAGCCAUUGCGGGAAGCCCUGGACCGUCCCUCUUUAUGGUCUGUCUGAAGAGACUAGACUGGCACACAGAGCCAAUGACAUGAUCCUUGUGAGCUGAGACCUGCAAACAACCUUGGUGUCUGUCAACUGAAGAUUGCAAAAUGACAACGUGAUGCCGUACAGCUGGAAUACUCCUCAGCCAUUACAGAGGAAAAAAAAAUGACAUCCUGUCAUCAGAAAGCAGCACAGGUGGAGGUGGAUCCCGUGUUAGAUGGAGUAAGUCAGGCCCAGAGAGAGACACAUCAUGUGGCCUCACUCAUGUGUGCAAGGUCAAGGACGUUGAUCUCCCAGAAGCUGGGGAUAAAACUGUGACCACCAAAGAUGAAAGAGCAAGGAGAGGUGGAGACACACAGCUUGUUUGGAGGGGUGAUUCCAGGCCUUACUAAUCUCCAUGUAUGUUCAGUCUCCAUGUGUGUGUACAUCAGCUAAAAAUAUAAUCCCAGCUCUGAUGGUAGCACACAUGUAAUCCCAGCUCUGAUGGUAGCACACAGGUAACCCCAGCUCUGAUGGUAGCACACAUGUGCCACUCAUCUCGUCUCAAAGCACAAAGUAAAAAAAAAAAACAUCUUCAAUCAAGCUCUGAUCAUUUGAGGGUCAUCUUCUCCAAGCCACAGCAAGCAGAAGGGACACUAUUGGAGUAGACUCUGAGCCCCUCCCCCAAUGACUUCUGGUCCUACAUGCUACCCUAGGGAAGGAGAGUGAGUGUCCCCAGCCCCCAGAAAGAAGUGACUGACAACCCAAAACCCAGGACAAGCAAAAGAGAGGAACAUAGGUUUGGUCCCCCGCCCACUCACCCAACAGUACUGAGAUUUCCAUCCAAGGAUCCCAGGCAGUUGGAAACCAACAUUAUAUCAGGACACUGUCAUCUGAACCCCUCUUCUGGAAUACCGAGGCUCACACUGCUAUGUACAAUCUGUGGAGGAGCCACACCUCUAAUAGCAUGUGAGUAACCAGAGAGGUCAGGGCCUGGGACCCAGAAAAUCGAGACUCCAGUUACCCUAUGCAAGGACUCCAGGGCAAAGAGGAGCUUCCUGAAUCCACAACAGACUCUUAAGUGCUGCUUCUGUGCCCUCGAAGGACUUGAGGCCACGGUGGCAGCUGGAUCCAGUGCUCAGGAGGGUGGAUGCUGGGGGUUCCCCAGGAUGCCUGGGCCUCCCCACUAAGCAGAUGAAUAGAAACACAGGUGCUGCUUCAGACUGUUCACAGACACUAACUGAUUUGUCCUGUGCUCCAGGAGGGGUGUGAUUCU
This is a long non-coding RNA of Mus musculus (house mouse), 2160 nucleotides long. RefSeq annotates it as predicted gene, 42154. The record is from RefSeq and is a predicted model, not a curated record. Lineage: Eukaryota; Metazoa; Chordata; Mammalia; Rodentia; Muridae. The transcript has 3 exons.